AAGAUACUAGUAAAACGUUCAUAACACUGCCUUGUCAAGGCAGAAUUGUGGGUUAAACCCCCACGUAUCUUA
Molecule: transfer RNA, 72 nt
Filed under: Choerodon schoenleinii (blackspot tuskfish)
Lineage: Eukaryota; Metazoa; Chordata; Actinopteri; Labriformes; Labridae
Description: tRNA-Asp
Rfam family: tRNA
About the family: Transfer RNA (tRNA) molecules are approximately 80 nucleotides in length.
Source: RNAcentral